GACAGAGGGUGCAAACGUUGUUCGGAUUUACUGGGCGUAAAGCGUGUGUAGGCGGCUUCGCAAGUUGGAUGUGAAAUCCCACGGCUCAACCGUGGACGUGCAUCCAAAACUGCGUCGCUAGAGUCUCGGAGAGGAAGGUGGAAUGCUUGGUGUAGAGGUGAAAUUCGUAGAUAUCAAGCAGAACACCUGCGGCGAAGGCGGCCUUCUGGACGAUGACUGACACUGAGACACGAAAGCGUGGGGAGCAAACAGG
Molecule: ribosomal RNA, 253 nt
Filed under: uncultured bacterium
Lineage: Bacteria
Description: partial 16S ribosomal RNA
Rfam family: Bacterial small subunit ribosomal RNA
Source: RNAcentral